RNAcentral lists this ribosomal RNA (564 nucleotides) under uncultured Bacteroidota bacterium. Its description in RNAcentral is "bacterial SSU rRNA". It matches the Rfam family "Bacterial small subunit ribosomal RNA", at positions 505 to 1069 of the family's 1533-position model. The record is from RNAcentral. Lineage: Bacteria; Pseudomonadati; Bacteroidota.
GUGCCAGCAGCCGCGGUAAUACGGAGGGUGCGAGCGUUGUCCGGAAUCAUUGGGUGUAAAGGGUGCGUAGGCUGGCUUUUAAGUCUGGGGUGAAAUCUUGCCGCUUAACGGUAAAAUGGCCCCCGAUACUGGAAGUCUUGAAUCUGACAGAGGUCGGUGGAAUUCGUAGUGUAGCGGUGAAAUGCAUAGAUAUUACGAAGAACACCAGUGGCGAAGGCGGCCGGCUGGGUCAGUAUUGACGCUGAGGCACGAGAGCGUGGGGAGCGAACAGGAUUAGAUACCCUGGUAGUCCACGCUGUAAACGAUGUAUGCUAGUUGUUGGGCCCUGGGGUUCAGUGACGCAGUUAACGCGUUAAGUGCACCGCCUGGGGAAUACGGCCGCAAGGCUAAAACUCAAAGGAAUUGACGGGGGCCCGCACAAGCGGUGGAGCAUGUGGCUUAAUUCGAUGCAACGCGAAGAACCUUACCUGGGCUUGACAUGCCCGUCGUAUCUUAUCGAAAGAAUAGGAUCAGUUUUGCUGGACGGUGACAGGUGCUGCAUGGCUGUCGUCAGCUCGUGCCGUG